RNAcentral lists this ribosomal RNA (255 nucleotides) under uncultured bacterium. RNAcentral's name for it is "partial 16S ribosomal RNA". It matches the Rfam family "Bacterial small subunit ribosomal RNA", at positions 526 to 779 of the family's 1533-position model. The record is from RNAcentral.
CGUAGGGGCGAGCGUUGUCCGGAAUCAUUGGGCGUAAAGAGCGUGUAGGCGGCCCGGUAAGUCCGCUGUGAAAACCCGGGGCUCAACCCCGGGCGUGCAGUGGAAACUGCCGGGCUAGAGGGCGGCAGAGGCGAGUGGAAUUCCCGGUGUAGCGGUGAAAUGCGCAGAUAUCGGGAGGAACACCGGUAGCGAAGGCGGCUCGCUGGGGCCGUUCCUGACGCUGAGACGCGAAAGCUAGGGGGAGCGAACAGGAUU